This 84-nucleotide transfer RNA is filed under the name Candidatus Pacearchaeota archaeon. RNAcentral's name for it is "tRNA-Leu". It matches the Rfam family "tRNA". Rfam says of the family: Transfer RNA (tRNA) molecules are approximately 80 nucleotides in length. Lineage: Archaea; Nanobdellati. The record is from RNAcentral.
GCGGGGAUGCCGGAGCGGUCAAACGGGCUGGAUUUAGGCUCCAGUGGCUUAGUGCUUGCGGAGGUUCGAAUCCUCUUCCCCGCA